AAGAGCCAAAGAGAAAGUGGCUCCUUUCAGAAAAUCAGUAAUAUCCAGCCUCCAGGACUUUCUAAAAACUGUGUAGGAUUUCUUGAUUGUGAUUGGCUAAAUUUGAUUUUAAGCCGUUGUAAACCUAUUGUAGCACUUCCCUGCAACCCUUCUGUGACGCUUUCUUGCUCUUUUUCCAGAGAAUCGACUGUAAUUAAAAAAGGAAAGUUGACAGUGACGGCCACCGCUUCCAGUACAAGUGGAAAUUGGGGCAUUUUUUUCAGCUACAUUUGCCAGAUGUGUGGAGGAGUUCAAUAUCAAAAAGGACUACCAGACAAGACAUGCAAACCCUGACAAACUACAUGUAAAUGGCUGUGAACAGUGCAAAAAUUAACCAACAUUUUUAGAUGUUUAUGUUUUUAUGUGAAGAAAUGUGUGAAAAGUUAUUAAAAUAGUUCAAAGCAUGUUGGUCCUCUGACAUUUUACCUCAUCAAAUCUGCUCUGUCAAAAGUUUGGACAUCCCCUCUCUAUGGGCACUCGGACUUCCCCCCACAGUCCAAAAACAUGCUUCAUGGGUGAGGUUGUUUGUCUCAGUGCUGCUCUGGUUGGGAUGGUGAACUAUCUAUUCGCUUACACGCAAAAACACAGAAAACGAUGGCAGGUAGUUAAAAUAAAAAAAAUAAAUACAAAAUUAUUUGUCACCAUGGCAAGCCCAUGUCAACACAGCACUAUUUAAUCUCAACAUAUCAUAAGGUAGUUGUGAGUAUCAGCUAAUUGUUCCUGACACGUUUCACCGUGUUGAACUGGAGGCCACAUAGUUGUGGUCGUCUACUGGUUACCCAUUGUUGAUGGCCAGGCACCUCACCAGGCAGGCUAUAUCAUGGUAUAAUUAGAAAAAGAAAGAUUAAUGGACUCUGGGGGCCCGUGGACUCUCAGUUUAUUUUCUUAAUUGCCUGAAUUUACUGGCUUGGAGUGUGAGAUCCAGCAGUCACUUAACACGGGUGAAAAAUGAGGCCGGAGAGCCUCGAAAUGACAGUGUGUAUUUAUGAAUUUAAAAACAAUUCGUGCAACAGUCAUAUAUUCCCCUAAGCCUCAAAGUUUAUACAGCACACUGGAACUCCAACCAAUAAUUCAAACGUUCUUUUUCCUGCAGUAAUAGCCUAUGAAAAUUGAUUUUCUGUCUUUGACAUGGAAUAAUCUUUAAAUGUGUUUUUCCAGCAUGUUCAGUUGAGAGCCAAAAUACAUUUUUGAGAAAAGGUCUCUGUAUAAUCAGGCUAAAUAAAUCAUUUGCAAUAAUAUAGUCAUAUUUAAUAUUCCUCAGACAUAAAUUUUGCAUAAUGUAUAGAUAAUCUAAACUACUCAAAGAGAAAAUUAGCUUUUUAAAUAAAAUUUUAUAGGUUAUGUAUGACCAGACUGUAAGUAUAGGAUUUACUUCUAUUUUUGUAAAUCUUUUCAACUUCCCGUAACAAACCAUUAAAAGAUUCAAGGACAUAUUUUUUUUGCCAUAAGGGAUACAAAUUCAUAGCUGUAUCACAUCCAGAACACAGGAUGUGACCAAUAGAGUGAAGCUAAUUCGAUUUCCAGACAGCUUAGUAAAACCACAGCAGCAUGCACCUGUGCUGGAACAAGAAAAAAAGGUCGGAAAGGGGUUCUCCCACAUGAUUAAGUCACUCUCAGGAAGAAAGAAUAGAGAGAGAAACAAAAAAAAAAAA
Molecule: long non-coding RNA, 1691 nt
Organism: Oryzias melastigma (Indian medaka)
Lineage: Eukaryota; Metazoa; Chordata; Actinopteri; Beloniformes; Adrianichthyidae
Exons: 2
Source: RefSeq, a predicted model, not a curated record